GGGCGUAACCCUGACGCAGCAACGCCGCGUGAGUGAUGAAGGCCUUCGGGUCGUAAAGCUCUGUCAAAGGGAAAGAAAUGUGUGGGGGUUAAAUCCCUCCAUCCUUGACGGUACCCUCUAAG
Molecule: ribosomal RNA, 122 nt
Filed under: Geobacter sp. enrichment culture
Lineage: Bacteria; Pseudomonadati; Thermodesulfobacteriota; Desulfuromonadia; Geobacterales; Geobacteraceae
Description: partial 16S ribosomal RNA
Rfam family: Bacterial small subunit ribosomal RNA
Source: RNAcentral